Molecule: ribosomal RNA, 497 nt
Filed under: uncultured bacterium
Lineage: Bacteria
Description: partial 16S ribosomal RNA
Rfam family: Bacterial small subunit ribosomal RNA
Source: RNAcentral
GAUGAACGCUGGCGGCGUGCCUAAUACAUGCAAGUCGAGCGAACAGACGAGGAGCUUGCUCCUCUGACGUUAGCGGCGGACGGGUGAGUAACACGUGGAUAACCUACCUAUAAGACUGGGAUAACUUCGGGAAACCGGAGCUAUUACCGGAUAAUAUAUUGAACCGCAUGGUUCAAUAGUGAAAGACGGUUUUGCUGUCACUUAUAGAUGUAUCCGCGCCGCAUUAGCUAGUUGGUAAGGUAACGGCUUACCAAGGCAACGAUGCGUAGCCGACCUGAGAGGGUGAUCGGCCACACUGGAACUUAGACACGGUCCAGACUCCUACGGGAGGCAGCAGUAGGGAAUCUUCCGCAAUGGGCGAAAGCCUGACGGAGCAACGCCGCGUGAGUGAUGAAGGUCUUCGGAUCGUAAAACUCUGUUAUUAGGGAAGAACAAAUGUGUAAGUAACUAUGCACGUCUUGACGGUACCUAAUCAGAAAGCCACGGCUAACUACGUG